This 253-nucleotide ribosomal RNA is filed under the name uncultured bacterium. RNAcentral's name for it is "partial 16S ribosomal RNA". It matches the Rfam family "Bacterial small subunit ribosomal RNA", at positions 524 to 776 of the family's 1533-position model. The record is from RNAcentral.
UACGGGGGGGGCAAGCGUUGUUCGGAAUUACUGGGCGUAAAGGGCUCGUAGGCGGCCAACUAAGUCAGACGUGAAAUCCCUCGGCUUAACCGGGGAACUGCGUCUGAUACUGGAUGGCUCGAGUUUGGGAGAGGGAUGCGGAAUUCCAGGUGUAGCGGUGAAAUGCGUAGAUAUCUGGAGGAACACCGGUGGCGAAGGCGGCAUCCUGGACCAACACUGACGCUGAUGAGCGAAAGCCAGGGGAGCAAACGGG